AACACGUGAGUAACCUGCCCCGAACUCUGGGAUAAGCGCUGGAAACGGCGUCUAAUACUGGAUAUGUCCUAUCACCGCAUGGUGUGUAGGUGGAAAGAAUUUUGGUUCGGGAUGGACUCGCGGCCUAUCAGCUAGAUGGUGAGGUAAUGGCUCACCAUGGCGACGACGGGUAGCCGGCCUGAGAGGGUGACCGGCCACACUGGGACUGAGACACGGCCCAGACUCCUACGGGAGGCAGCAGUGGGGAAUAUUGCACAAUGGGCGCAAGCCUGAUGCAGCAACGCCGCGUGAGGGAUGACGGCCUUCGGGUUGUAAACCUCUUUUAGUAGGGAAGAAGCGAAAGUGACGGUACCUGCAGAAAAAGCACCGGCUAACUACGUGCCAGCAGCCGCGGUAAUACGUAGGGUGCAAGCGUUGUCCGGAAUUAUUGGGCGUAAAGAGCUCGUAGGCGGCUUGUCGCGUCUGCUGUGAAAACCAGAGGCUCAACCUCUGGCCUGCAGUGGGUACGGGCAAGCUAGAGUGCGGUAGGGGAGAUUGGAAUUCCUGGUGUAGCGGUGGAAUGCGCAGAUAUCAGGAGGAACACCGAUGGCGAAGGCAGAUCUCUGGGCCGUAACUGACGCUGAGGAGCGAAAGCAUGGGGAGCGAACAGGAUUAGAUACCCUGGUAGUCCAUGCCGUAAACGUUGGGAACUAGAUGUAGGGCCUGUUCCACGGGUUCUGUG
This 721-nucleotide ribosomal RNA is filed under the name Leucobacter alluvii. RNAcentral's name for it is "bacterial SSU rRNA". It matches the Rfam family "Bacterial small subunit ribosomal RNA", at positions 112 to 845 of the family's 1533-position model. The record is from RNAcentral. Lineage: Bacteria; Bacillati; Actinomycetota; Actinomycetes; Micrococcales; Microbacteriaceae.